UUGACUGUAAAACAUGCUCGUCUGGAAACACUGCAAUGCAGAGUAGUUCCACCAUUUCAAACUUCAAGACGUGAUGCUCGGCAGUCAGCUACUCUAAUAAACAUGCUGUAGGUGGUUUCUGGUGCACCACCUGGUGAGCUCCUGGAUUUCUUUUGUUUCAUCUCCCAUCAAGAUCAGGCCCAGUACUGCUGAGUCAUCAGUGAACUUGAUGACAACAUUUGAGAUUAAAAUGGAGAACGUGGUUGUAACUCACACUCUAAUGGCUUCCAGAAGGCAUCUCUGGUGUCUCCGGUGUUCGCCGUGGCUAGCUCUCAUCAAGCUGGUUCGAUGCAGAAGCCAGCAUUCUCUUAGGACGUUGGCAGC
This is a long non-coding RNA of Oryzias melastigma (Indian medaka), 363 nucleotides long. RefSeq lists it as uncharacterized. The record is from RefSeq and is a predicted model, not a curated record. NCBI's taxonomy places the organism in Eukaryota, Metazoa, Chordata, Actinopteri, Beloniformes, Adrianichthyidae. The transcript has 3 exons.